GAUGAACGCUAGCGGCAGGCUUAACACAUGCAAGUCGAGGGGUAACAGAGUAGCUUGCUAUUGCUGACGACCGGCGCACGGGUGCGUAACGCGUAUACAAUCUGCCUUGUACUGAGGGAUAGCCUUUGGAAACGAAGAUUAAUACCUCAUAGCAUUACAGUAUCGCAUGAUACAGUAAUUAAAGGUUACGGUACAAGAUGAGUAUGCGUCCUAUUAGCUAGAUGGUGUGGUAACAGCAUACCAUGGCAACGAUGCGUAGCCGACCUGAGAGGGUGAUCGGCCACACUGGAACUGAGACACGGUCCAG
Molecule: ribosomal RNA, 307 nt
Filed under: uncultured bacterium
Lineage: Bacteria
Description: bacterial SSU rRNA
Rfam family: Bacterial small subunit ribosomal RNA
Source: RNAcentral